This 67-nucleotide transfer RNA is filed under the name Brachystomella parvula. Its description in RNAcentral is "tRNA-Ser". The record is from RNAcentral. Lineage: Eukaryota; Metazoa; Arthropoda; Collembola; Poduromorpha; Brachystomellidae.
GAAAUAAGAAGCUCAUACUUAAGCCGCUAACUUAAGGUAUAAGUGGUUGAAUUCCAUUUUUCUUUCU